This 483-nucleotide ribosomal RNA is filed under the name uncultured bacterium. RNAcentral's name for it is "partial 16S ribosomal RNA". It matches the Rfam family "Bacterial small subunit ribosomal RNA", at positions 28 to 507 of the family's 1533-position model. The record is from RNAcentral.
AUUGAACGCUGGCGGCAUGCUUCACAUGCAAGUCGAACGGCAGCGCGGGCUUCGGCCUGGCGGCGAGUGGCGAACGGGUGAGUAAUGCAUCGGAACGUGCCCAGUAGUGGGGGAUAGCCCGGCGAAAGCCGGAUUAAUACCGCAUACGACCUGAGGGUGAAAGCGGGGGACCGAAAGGCCUCGCGCUAUUGGAGCGGCCGAUGUCGGAUUAGCUAGUUGGUGGGGUAAAGGCUUACCAAGGCGACGAUCCGUAGCUGGUCUGAGAGGACGACCAGCCACACUGGGACUUGGGCCAGGGCCAGGCUUCCUCCGGGGGGAGCAGUGGGGGAAUUUGGGCAAUGGGGGCAACCCUGGACCAAGCAAGCCGCGGGCGGGGAGGAAGCCUUCGGGUUGUUAACCGCUUUUGUUCGGGAAGGAAACCUCUGGGCUAAUUCCCCUGGGGGGAUGACGGUACCGGAAGAAUAAGCACCGGCUAACUACGUG